RNAcentral lists this ribosomal RNA (184 nucleotides) under uncultured bacterium. RNAcentral describes it as "partial 16S ribosomal RNA". It matches the Rfam family "Bacterial small subunit ribosomal RNA", at positions 1318 to 1500 of the family's 1533-position model. The record is from RNAcentral.
ACAUGAAGCUGGAAUCGCUAGUAAUCGCGGAUCAGAAUGCCGCGGUGAAUACGUUCCCGGGUCUUGUACACACCGCCCGUCACACCAUGGGAGUCGGAAAUGCCCGAAGUCUGUGACCCAACCUUAGGGAGGGAGCAGCCGAAGGCAGGUCGGAUGACUGGGGGUGAAGUCGUAACAAGGUAAC